RNAcentral lists this long non-coding RNA (5745 nucleotides) under Linum usitatissimum (flax). Its description in RNAcentral is "long non-coding RNA (LUSI_LNC007262)". The record is from RNAcentral. Lineage: Eukaryota; Viridiplantae; Streptophyta; Magnoliopsida; Malpighiales; Linaceae.
UCCUCUCCUCUCCUUCACCCUCGCGAAUCACUGUCUCUCCGUCUCCUCCUCCGGCGACGACUCAGACGAGCAGUUAAAGGAGUCGCGCAGCUCACUUUGACGAUUCGAUCGACCUCAGAUUGCUGCAGCUGUGGAGCUCCUCAUUCGACGAUAUCCUCCUCCUCCUCCAGUCGGCUAUUCGCUGGAUCAUCGCAAAUUGGUGCAGCUGUGCAGCACAAAAACAGGUGAGUUUCUUACUUUGGUGGGUGAUUGGAGAAGAAGCACCCAAAUAUUGAAACUUAAAUGAAAUCAACACAGGAAAUGUGAAAAGAAUCCAAAUUUCUGAAAUUUAGUCUCUGAAUUUUGCUUACAAUUGAAUCUCACUGUUGCAGCACGAUCGGAUUUGAGGGACCUUGGGGCUGAAAUAGUGUUUCAGUUGCUGCCGCCUCGAUCAUCUGGUAGCUGUCUGGUCGAUCAGUUAUUCCAAUCUCUAUUCUGGUAAUGAAACUACAAUAUUUUUCCAAAUGAAAGUUAUGCUUCUAUACCACUAUAAUAAUAGUCGCUUUAAAUCGUUUACUGAAUGCACACUAUCUGCUUUAAGUUUCAUUUUCUAGGUGAAGUAAUACUUCACUUUGUUAGCUACCGUAUUAUUAGUGAUAUCGGAGAUAUUGUAAAUAUGUUAUGUAGGAUACUGCUGAUAAGGCAGAUCGUAUAUAUUAGGAUAGUUAAAGUUAAAUAUGGUAGGAGUAUGAUUCCAUAUCGAAAGGGAAUCAGUACCUAAUAGGACAGUAAACUACAGACCUACUCCUAUAUAUGUAUCCUAGUAUUCCAGCAAUAAAAAACAAGUCAGAAACGAUACCUCUGGAACUUAUAUGGUAUCAGAGCCAUCUUACUAAAAGUAGUAUAGCUUCUCAUCCAUGGCGCCAGAACCAGUCAGCAGUGAUUCCAUCAUCGAUCCAGUCACUACCAAUGUAUCACACACUGCUCAGCCAAUCGCUGCAGAUAAUCCACACCUGCAGAUCACAACGAUUAAGCUGAACGGAGCAAACUAUGUGCGCUGGUCACAGUCUGUGCGCAUGUACAUCAGAGGGAGAUCCAAGAUUGGAUACAUCACCGGGGCUGCUACCAAACCGGAGGAGACGGACCCUGCCUUUGCAGUAUGGGAUGCUGAAAACUCUAUGGUGAUGACAUGGCUCGUCAACUCAAUGUCAGCAGAGAUUGGGGCCAACUACCUGGGGUACAACACAGCAAAGGAGCUAUGGGAUGAUGUGGUAGCUACCUACUCGGAUCUUGGAAACCAGUCGCAGGUAUACGAACUUACCCAGAAACUGGCUAUGAUUGUUCAAGGAGAGGAUUCUGUUACACGUUAUUAUAAUCUGUUGAAACAAGUGUGGCAAGACUUGGAUCUAUUCAAUGACCAUGUCUGGAAAUCAGUUGAUGAUCAUAGGUUUUUUACGAAAACUGUGGAAACUAACAGAAUUUUCAAGUUUUUGGUGGGCUUAAAUGCCGAGUUAGAUGAGGUGCGUGGCAGGAUUAUUGGGCGUGACCCUCUUCCCACUAUAGGAGAAGUGUUUAAUGAGGUCCGUCGAGAAGAAAGUCGACGCCGUGUUAUGCUGGGAGGAAAAACCCAGCCAGUGCCUGAAGGGUCUGCCCUUAUUACUGGGAAACAGAAGGAGGCUGCCCCUGAAGCGAUGGUAGCUUACAAAGGGGGAUCCCAUCGUGGACCUGAUCCUAAGGCCCACUUGAAGUGUGACUACUGCGGAAGGACUAGGCAUACUCGUGAUCGAUGCUUCAAGCUGCAUCCAGAAUUGCGAAAUCCAGCUCCUAGUGCUCCCAGUGACAGCAGCUACCAGCCUAGAGCUCACAACGCUGUGAGGCAACCAGAAGGUGGACUGCUCAGCAAAGAACAGCUGGAGCAGAUUCUGUCACUACUCAAGCCACAGUUGUCUCAGUCUGGUAACCCUACUGAUUCUACAGCACAUUCAGGUAACGUACUAAUGGCACGAUCUAUGAGGAAUUGGAUAAUUGAUUCUGGAGCCUCAGAUCAUAUGACACAUGAUUCACUAUCCUUUAUUACAUAUGCAUCACAGUCAGGAUUUAAUAAGGUCAAAGUGGCUGAUGGUAACCUAGCUCCGAUUGCAGGCAUUGGACAUAUUCCUAUAUCCAAAGACCUUACUCUAAAAUCUGUUCUACAUGUUCCUAAGCUGUCCUAUAACUUUCUAUCCUUUUCAUUGUACCAUUCAGGAUCGGAGCUCGGGGAGGGUGAUUGGCAGAGGUAGGCAGAAGGAAGGGCUCUACUACCUAGAGGAGGAAGGGCUUGGUGUUAAAAAAGGUCAGAGCUUGGCCUGUGCAAGUUCUGCCCCUGUCUAUGAACAGAUCAAGUUAUUACAUUCUCGCUUUGGUCAUCCUAGUUUUCAAUACCUAAAACAAUUAUUUCCCAGCUUAUUUCAAGGAAUAAAAUUGUCUGUUUUUCAAUGUGAUGCCUGCCAAUAUGCUAAGCACCAUCGAACAAGCUUUCCUAGUAGGGGUUACUCCCCUUCCAAACCAUUUUAUUUGAUUCAUAGUGAUGUAUGGGGGCCGUCAAGGAUCCCGACUAUUUCUGGAAAAAAAUGGUUUAUGACCUUUAUUGAUGAUCAUACCCGAAUGAGUUGGGUAUAUUUUUUCACUCACAAAACUGAUGUUAAAAAUAUUGUUAAACAGUUUCACAGCAUGGUUAAUACACAAUUUGGAGUCAAAAUUGCUAUUUUAAGAACAGACAAUGGGACAGAGUAUUUCAAUUCCUAUCUAACUGAGUUUUUAAGGUCCCAAGGAACAAUCCAUCAGUCCUCAUGUUCUUACACUCCCCAACAAAAUGGCAUCGCUGAGCGUAAGAAUCGGCACCUCCUUGAGGUAGCACGAGCCUUAAUGUUCUCAGCCAACGUCCCUAAAUAUUUAUGGGGAGAUGCAGUGUUAACAGCAGCUUACUUAAUCAACCGUGUGCCUAGUAAACUGCUGUCUUUCCAAACCCCUGUUAAAAUUUUCAGCAAAUGUUUUCCAGAAACAAGAUUACUGGGGAAUUUACCCUUAAAAACGUUUGGUUGUAUUUGCUUUGUUCUAGUUCCAUCUCAAUUUCGGACAAAACUCGAUGCUCGUGCACAAAAGUGUAUUUUUCUUGGCUAUGCAGCCACUCAAAAGGGCUAUAAAUGCUUUAAUCCAGUUACUAAGCGAUCAUUUGUCACAUGUGAUGUUGUUUUUUGGGAACAGCAACCCUAUUUUUCACAGAAUUUGCUUCAGGGGGAGAAUUCUGAUAACUUACAGUCCGGUUUUGAAGCAAAUUUUUGGGAUACUGAAAACAUAGAUUCGUUACCUAUCCCUAUACCUGAUAAUGUGAGUCAUAGUUUCUAUGAUCAGACCAUGACAGGGGGAGAAGCUCAGGUAGAAGUAGUGCCACCCACUACUAAUUCUAACCUUCAGGUUUACACCAGGCGACCUAGACCUACGGGUGUUGUUGCCCCAACUUCCAUUCCUCCAACUAAUCACUCGAAUGAACCGAGCAAUGAGGAUCCUAGCAAUGGUGCAGAAACACAGACCAGUACCUUAGAUCCAGGUAUUCAAUCCAACCCAGACUCAGACCUUGGUUUUCCGAUUGCUCUCAGAAAAGGAAUACGAGCAUGUACUAGAUAUCCUAUCUCUAAAUAUGUGUCAUAUGCAAAGUUGUCCAAUACUCAUAGAUCAUUCGUGUCAAAGGUAACUAACCUAUUUGUGCCUAGAAACAUAGAGGAAGCCAUGAAUGAUGAGAACUGGAACUUAGCAGUGCAGGAGGAAAUGAGAGCAUUAAGGAUCAACGAUACUUGGGGGAUGGUUAAUUUGCCAGCAGGAAAAAAUGUUGUGAGCUGUAAAUGGGUGUUUACCAUCAAAUUUAAAGCUGAUGGCACAGUUGAAAGAUAUAAGGCCAGACUUGUGGCACGAGGAUUCACACAGACAUAUGGACUGGAUUUCAAUGAGACAUUCGCACCAGUGGCAAAGCCCUCAACAAUACGGGUGCUACUUUCUCUGGCUGUCAACCAAGAUUGGCCACUUCACCAGUUGGAUGUCAAAAAUGCAUUCCUCAACGGCACGUUAGAUGAGGAAGUAUACAUGACACCUCCACCUGGAUUCGAAACACAACUGGGACAAGGAAAGGUAUGCAAACUGAAGAAAUCCCUCUAUGGACUGAAACAGUCCCCCAGGGCUUGGUUUGAGAGAUUUGGAUCAGCGGUUACUCGCUUUGGGUUUAAUCAGAGUCAGGCUGAUCAUACCAUGUUCAUUAAGCAUCUACCUAACAAUAAGCUCGUAAUACUUAUUGUGUAUGUGGAUGACAUAAUUGUAACAGGAAAUGAUCUUGAAGAGAUCAAGCUGAUCAAGAACAAUUUGGCACAAGAAUUUGAAGUAAAAGAUCUAGGACCACUGAAGUAUUUCCUGGGUCUAGAGUUUGCAAGAUCUGCUAAUGGUCUAUUUAUGAAUCAAAGAAAGUAUACAUUGGACCUGCUGGAAGAGACAGGGAUGAUGGAGUGCAGACCAGCAACAACUCCUAUGGAUGCAAAUCAUACCCUACGAGUAUGUGAGAAGAACGAAAUCAAGGAUCAAGAACGCUACCAGAGGCUAGUUGGAAGGCUGAUCUACCUGGCUCACACUCGACCAGACAUAACCUUUGCUGUGAGUGUAGUAAGCCAGUUCAUGCACAGUCCAGGAGCUAUGCAUUUUGAUGCAGUCUAUCGAAUACUCAGGUACCUAAAGGGAUCACCAGGAAAGGGGCUGAUGUUCAAAAAAGGGAAUAAUUUCCAGGUUGAGGCUUAUACUGAUGCAGAUUGGGCAGGGAAUCCCAUUGAUCGAAGAUCAACAUCAGGGUAUUGUGUGUUUGUUGGAGGCAAUCUGGUUUCUUGGCGUAGCAAGAAACAAAAUGUGGUGGCAAGAAGCAGCGCAGAGGCAGAAUACAGAGCAAUUGCUCAGGGAGUAUGUGAGGUUAUUUGGCUGAAGAAAUUACUCGAGGACCUACGGAUAGCGGUACCAAAACCAAUCAGAUUGUACACUGACAGCAAAGCAGCCAUAGCUAUUGCUCACAAUCCAGUCCAACACGACCGCACUAAACAUGUGGAGAUCGACAGGCACUUCAUCAAGGAGAAACUAACUAGUGGCUUAAUCUGUAUGCCAUACAUUCCUACAACAAGUCAAGUCGCAGACAUCUUCACCAAAGGACUCUACGCAGGACAAUUCAACUAUCUAGCAAGCAAGCUGGCUAUGGAAGAUAUCUUCGCACCAGCUUGAGGGGGAGUGUUAGCUACCGUAUUAUUAGUGAUAUCGGAGAUAUUGUAAAUAUGUUAUGUAGGAUACUGCUGAUAAGGCAGAUCGUAUAUAUUAGGAUAGUUAAAGUUAAAUAUGGUAGGAGUAUGAUUCCAUAUCGAAAGGGAAUCAGUACCUAAUAGGACAGUAAACUACAGACCUACUCCUAUAUAUGUAUCCUAGUAUUCCAGCAAUAAAAGACAAGUCAGAAACGAUACCUCUGGAACUUAUACACUUUUAUAACUUAGUUUGAUUGGAAACUAGUUGUUGAUUGGAGUAAUGUUGGAUUUACUACAUUUGGCAUCCUUAUAUCUUUGAAUGGUCUGAGUUUGGGAACCACUAUAAUUUGGUUAGUCGAACUUCUUGAAUCUAUUUCUAGUUUCUUCCUGUGUGAAGAGAAAGAAAAUGUGUAUGGUGAUGGUCCCGUUUUUAGCGUAAUAAUUGGAGGUCCAUGACAUUGACAAUUGG